Molecule: ribosomal RNA, 1346 nt
Filed under: uncultured bacterium
Lineage: Bacteria
Description: bacterial SSU rRNA
Rfam family: Bacterial small subunit ribosomal RNA
Source: RNAcentral
GACGAACGCUGGCGGCGUGCUUAACACAUGCAAGUCGAACGGAAAGGCCCUGCUUUUGUGGGGUGCUCAAGUGGCGAACGGGUGAGUAACACGUGAGUAACCUGCCCUUGACUUUGGGAUAACUUCAGGAAACUGGGGCUAAUACCGGAUAGGAGCUCCUGCUGCAUGGUGGGGGUUGGAAAGUUUCGGCGGUUGGGGAUGGACUCGCGGCUUAUCAGCUUGUUGGUGGGGUAGUGGCUUACCAAGGCUUUGACGGGUAGCCGGCCUGAGAGGGUGACCGGCCACAUUGGGACUGAGAUACGGCCCAGACUCCUACGGGAGGCAGCAGUGGGGAAUAUUGCACAAUGGGCGGAAGCCUGAUGCAGCAACGCCGCGUGCGGGAUGACGGCCUUCGGGUUGUAAACCGCUUUCGCCUGUGACGAAGCGUGAGUGACGGUAAUGGGUAAAGAAGCACCGGCUAACUACGUGCCAGCAGCCGCGGUGAUACGUAGGGUGCGAGCGUUGUCCGGAUUUAUUGGGCGUAAAGGGCUCGUAGGUGGUUGAUCGCGUCGGAAGUGUAAUCUUGGGGCUUAACCCUGAGCGUGCUUUCGAUACGGGUUGACUUGAGGAAGGUAGGGGAGAAUGGAAUUCCUGGUGGAGCGGUGGAAUGCGCAGAUAUCAGGAGGAACACCAGUGGCGAAGGCGGUUCUCUGGGCCUUUCCUGACGCUGAGGAGCGAAAGCGUGGGGAGCGAACAGGCUUAGAUACCCUGGUAGUCCACGCUGUAAACGGUGGGUACUAGGUGUGGGGUCCAUUCCACGGGUUCCGUGCCGUAGCUAACGCUUUAAGUACCCCGCCUGGGGAGUACGGCCGCAAGGCUAAAACUCAAAGGAAUUGACGGGGCCCCGCACAAGCGGCGGAGCAUGCGGAUUAAUUCGAUGCAACGCGUAGAACCUUACCUGGGUUUGACAUGGAUCGGGAGCGCUCAGAGAUGGGUGUGCCUCUUUUGGGGUCGGUUCACAGGUGGUGCAUGGCUGUCGUCAGCUCGUGUCGUGAGAUGUUGGGUUAAGUCCCGCAACGAGCGCAACCCUUGUUCACUGUUGCCAGCACGUUAUGGUGGGGACUCAGUGGAGACCGCCGGGGUCAACUCGGAGGAAGGUGGGGAUGACGUCAAGUCAUCAUGCCCCUUAUGUCCAGGGCUUCACGCAUGCUACAAUGGCUGGUACAGAGAGUGGCGAGCCUGUGAGGGUGAGCGAAUCUCGGAAAGCCGGUCUCAGUUCGGAUUGGGGUCUGCAACUCGACCUCAUGAAGUCGGAGUCGCUAGUAAUCGCAGAUCAGCAACGCUGCGGUGAAUACGUUCCCGGGGCU